Molecule: ribosomal RNA, 376 nt
Filed under: uncultured bacterium
Lineage: Bacteria
Description: bacterial SSU rRNA
Rfam family: Bacterial small subunit ribosomal RNA
Source: RNAcentral
AAUCAACGCUGGCGGCGUGCCUAACACAUGCAAGUCGAACGAGAAAGUGACUUCGGUCACUGGACAGUGGCGUCCGGGUGAGUAACACGUGGGUAAUCUACCUUCGGGUGGGGAAUAACGUCUCGAAAGAGACGCUAAUACCGCAUAAUGCAGCGGCACCUUAUGGUGAAUAGUUGUUAAAGCGGGGGAUCGCAAGACCUCGCGCCUGAAGAGGAGCCUGCGGCAGAUAGCUAGUUGGUGAGGUAAUGGCUCACCAAGGCUGCGAUCUGUAGCUGGUCUGAGAGGACGGCCAGCCACACUGGCACUGACACACGGGCCAGACUCCUACGGGAGGCAGCAGUGGGGAAUUUUGGGCAAUGGGCGCAAGCCUGACCCA